RNAcentral lists this long non-coding RNA (1540 nucleotides) under Salmo salar (Atlantic salmon). RNAcentral describes it as "lncRNA (ENSSSAG00000104316.1)". The record is from RNAcentral. Lineage: Eukaryota; Metazoa; Chordata; Actinopteri; Salmoniformes; Salmonidae.
UUUGGGGUGGGGGGCAUGUCCUACGAAAAAUCUCAAAUGGUAUUUUAUUAGUUCAUUACCUUUAACCAGGCCAGGUAUGGGGGCAAGGGGGCUUGAUGAAGGGUUGUUGGGCCAAGCCAGGCCAGGGUUGGGCUCUUGUGGGGGCUAAUGCCCCUCAGUGGUGGAGGGGGACCAGGUCUUUGUCCCAGUGGAGGGGAUUACACCGGCGGGGCGGCCCUAACAAUGUCUCCCCUCCUGGGAGGGCUGGGCAAACCUGCUCCCCCCAAUGACGGGUGUGGUCAACUGCUCACUGACUCAGUUAAACACAGUGAGAGAGAGGAGGAGAAGAGAGGGAUAGGAGGAGGAGAUGAAUGGAGGGGAGAGAGAAGAAUGAGCAGCAUGGAGUGAUACUCAACAAGGGUAACAGGGUAACAGAGAAGGAGAAAGUGGAGAGGAGAGGAUGGAGGUUGGAGAAGAAGAGGGUGGAGGUUGGAGGAGGAGAGGGUGGAGGUUGGAGGAGGAGAGGAUGGAGGUUGGAGGGGGAACGAGUUAAGGUUGGAGGAGGAGAGGAUGGAGGUAGGAGGAGGAGAGGAUGGAGGUUGGAGGGAGAGCGAGUUAAGGUUGGAGGAGGAGAGGAUGGGGUAGGAGGAGGAGAGGAUGGAGGUUGGAGGAGGAGAGGAUGGAGGUUGGAGGAGGAGAGGAUUAAGGUAGGAGGAGGAGAGGAUGGAGGUAGGAGGAAGAGAGGGUGAAAGGAUCAGGUGUGGUAGGAGGAGGAGAGGGUGAAAGGAUCAGGUGUGGUAGGAGGAGGAGAGGAUGAAAGGAUCAGGUGUGGUAGGAGGAGGAGAGGAUGAAAGGAUCAGGUGUGGUAGAAGGAGGAGAGGAUGAAAGGAUCAGGUGUGGUAGUAGGAGGAGAGGAUGAAAGGAUCAGGUGUGGUAGGAGGGAAAGGAGACCAGUGGCUCAAAGAACAAGAAGAUAAAUAAAGGAGUGAAGGAGAAGAGCGGAAUGGUGAGCUAGGUGAGGAUGACUCUGCAGGUACUGGAUGUAAAAUGUGUAAGUCUGAGGCCUUUCCUUAUGUACUUCAAUAUCAAAGUCCUCAUUAUGCCCACGCACACCGCCCAUUCAAAUCCAAUGACAAAUGCACCAGAUAAUUCCAUUAGGGGGGACUUCUAUAGAGGAUAUUUAGGGGACAGUAGAGAAAUCCAGGUAACAUAGCUCAACGCGGGCAAAGACAGAUAUGGCUCCGUAACACUUAUCAGGGAUUUGGCAGCCCUGUUGAUUGAACAUGCCAAGUCCCAUUUGUCGGAGGGGUGUGCACGUUUGUAUCGACACGCUGUAACCUUGUGGCUCCACAGAAGGAGACAUCAGAUGUGCUGCUAGCGGGCACACAGGCAGACAGGCAGGCAAGCAGGAGAGGGUGGGUGGGUUGGUAGGCUCCCCUCCUCUUCCCUUCUCUCUACUUCUCUCUCUCCUACUCUCUUCUCCUCUUCCGGCUGCAGUGGACAGGAGCCCCCCUCCUCCAUCCCCAGUGGACGGGAGCCCCCCUCCUCCCUCCAUCCCCAG